RNAcentral lists this long non-coding RNA (1766 nucleotides) under Triticum aestivum (bread wheat). RNAcentral describes it as "long non-coding RNA (TAES_LNC014734)". Lineage: Eukaryota; Viridiplantae; Streptophyta; Magnoliopsida; Poales; Poaceae. The record is from RNAcentral.
UUCAAUGUACUGCACUUUGUUGAUUAGUUCCUUGAAACUUAUCUUUUGAGUAGUUCCUUAUCAGAAUGAAAACAUGUAUGAAAAAUAAUUGCUUCCAGGACAACUUUAGCGCCUUUUCCUCUUUUCAGAAUCUAUAUUUGAGCUACCCCAUCCACACAUUCAACAAUUUUUUGAGUCACGACUAUCUCUUGGCUUACCACCCCUUCCAUGCCUGCACUCUGCAAUGACGGUAGAAUGUGGCUUUUAUUGUUGUGCUUUCUUAAUGCAAGACGCCAGGAUCUAUGAAUUGUGAAGCUGAAAUUUGCAAACAGUGAUCAAUUCUUUUAAGAUUUUCCCUAUAUUUCUUAUGUGCUUGUCCGCAGUAUAUAAAUUUAUUUCAAUCAUAGAACACUAAAACAAUACUAUCUGGGGCUUUCUGAUCCAUCACCACAAAUGAAGAACAGAGAAACAUGAGCACGGGAACCAAAAAUUGAGAUGCUAAAUGAGAGGGAUAGGGCUCACAGUGAGGGUCUUCUCAUUGCCGCAUCAUUGACAUCCGCUCUACAAACAUCUCGCCGGAGUCACCCACGCCUUAUUCUUCGAUCACCCCGACCCCCUCCUGUGGUUGCCGUCAGCACUGAACAUGAAUAGAAGGUUCAACUGGUGAUACUCUAGAUCUAACAGUAGGUGCAACGUAGAACCUACAUCCAUGCUUGACAGAUCAAACAUUUUUGUACCUCCUGCCAACAGUAUCAAGCAUCACAAGAACUGCUUUAACUUGGACUAAUGAUAGCGUUGUAUAUCAUGUAUGGAAGAAGGAAGACGAUAAGGAUUUCAUGACUGUGUAGCAUUGGCAAGUCCCUUGUCCAUGACUUCAUCAAUAACCGCUUCAUAGGUGCGCAAUCCUCUAAAGUGUACUUCCAUCCUACAUAAUCACCAACAGAACAUCACUUCAGGCAACAAAAAUAAUGACAAUGUACCCGGAUUUAGAAUAAUCACCCACGCUUGACCUUCCACAUCCCCAGAUUCUGACAAGAUUAUGUUUGUAUUUAAUUUUCUAUUCUACUUGGUUCUUUACUGAGAUGCUGUUAAAAUAUAUGGACAGUUCAUUUAUCAUCUAAUCCUUGCCUUAUUAUUGAAGAAUAAAUUCAGUAAAGAGAGUAAAUACUAAAUAGGCAACAAUAAAAUUUACUCUGUUAGAUUAUGCUUAGAAAAUAAGAAAACCUACUAAGAAAGUAAUAGAUACAGAUCAUGUCACAUGACAAACUAUAACUACAUUCAAACAUACCUUUACAAAAGCGGCUAUUGUUGUAGAUGACCCUUGUUCAUUUCGGCUAGCCCCUUCUCAAACUGGUAGUUUCCAUCUUGUGCCUACUAGUGGAGCCAUCACAAUGGCUUGAGGUUGAUCAAGUGCUGAUUCAGCUUAGAGCCACAGCCAGAAAAUUCCCAUCGACCUGUUCACAUGCAAGCCAAACAAAUGAUGGAAUUUGUUAGUGCUUGGGAAAACAUGACGGAGAAUCAUAUUACCUGGAGAAACAACACCUAAACUGGCAGCGCAGUCUUCCACUCGCAUGUGCUACGGAUCUUGCCGUUGUCGAAGAAGACAGCAACAGUACUGACCGGCGGAGGCUCUGGUCGCGGCAUGGCGAGGAAACUAGUAGCAAGCAUCUCGUCCGAAUCGCUCUGCUGGCCGUUGCUUCCCGUGUUGACACAUCAACACUGGAUUGUAGACUUGAUAGCGAAAUCAGUGAUUGCAAGGGCAUUAUCCGGUCGAUCCUUUUUAAUAU